RNAcentral lists this transfer RNA (85 nucleotides) under Felis catus (domestic cat). It matches the Rfam family "tRNA". Rfam says of the family: Transfer RNA (tRNA) molecules are approximately 80 nucleotides in length. Their secondary structure includes four short double-helical elements and three loops (D, anti-codon, and T loops). Lineage: Eukaryota; Metazoa; Chordata; Mammalia; Carnivora; Felidae. The record is from Rfam by way of RNAcentral.
GCCUGGGUGGCUCAGUCGGUUGAGCGUCCGACUUCGGCUCAGGUCAUGAUCUCGCGGUUCGUGGGUUCGAGCCCUGCAUCAGGCU